CGGGCAAGGGACAGCGACGCCUGGGCCGGGGCAGGUGAGCGCGGCGCAGGCCCCGGCCCGCCGUGUCCGCGGUGCGCGCGAGCGGCCAGCAGAGGGCGCCAGAGAGCCAGGAGCGGCCCGCGGAGGAGCCCGCGCCGGCCCCGAUGCCCAGCUCCGCGCCGCGCGGACCCACCGAGCCCGCGCUCAGACGCUCCAGCUCCGCCGAGAGGCCGCUCGCGCCGGGUCCUUCCUCUUCCCCAAGUGCAGGCAGAGCCCCCGGAGCCAUGGCCAGCCCUUCCGGCAGCUCCGAAGCCACUGGCAAGCCCCGAGGCAGGGAUGGCCGGCCCAGGAGGGAGGAGGACGACGUCCCUCCCGAGGAGAAGAGGCUGCGCCUGGGGCUGGAGGGGGGAAGCGCACAGCCCGAGGACUGCGAGGACGGGGAGGACGCGCCGCGGCCGGGCAGGGAGGAGACCGGCACCCAGACAGGUGGCGACGGCAGAGGAAUAGCCUUCACUCUUCUCUGCAACAAAUUCCAAAAGUAUAUAGUUGAGCUGACUGCAAGGUACUUGACAUGCAAGAGACUCCACAAAUGGGAUUCGGCCUCUGGAAAGUGGUGGUAGUUCCAGAUUUAUGUGGAUGUUACUUUGUUUUUCCGUAUAAAAUAUAUUAUUUAAACUAUCAAA
This 662-nucleotide long non-coding RNA is filed under the name Pongo abelii (Sumatran orangutan). RNAcentral's name for it is "lincRNA". The record is from RNAcentral. Lineage: Eukaryota; Metazoa; Chordata; Mammalia; Primates; Hominidae.